UGGGGAAUAUUGGACAAUGGGCGCAAGCCUGAUCCAGCCAUGCCGCGUGAGUGAUGAAGGCCCUAGGGUUGUAAAGCUCUUUCACCGGUGAAGAUAAUGACGGUAACCGGAGAAGAAGCCCCGGCUAACUUCGUGCCAGCAGCCGCGGUAAUACGAAGGGGGCCAGCGUUGUUCGGAUUUACUGGGCGUAAAGCGCACGUAGGCGGACUUUUAAGUCAGGGGUGAAAACCCGGGGCUCAACCCCGGAACUGCCUUUGAUACUGGAAGUCUUGAGUAUGGUAGAGGUGAGUGGAAUUCCGAGUGUAGAGGUGAAAUUCGUAGAUAUUCGGAGGAACACCAGUGGCGAAGGCGGCUCACUGGACCAUUACUGACGCUGAGGUGCGAAAGCGUGGGGAGCAAACAGG
Molecule: ribosomal RNA, 404 nt
Filed under: Actinomycetes bacterium
Lineage: Bacteria; Bacillati; Actinomycetota; Actinomycetes
Description: Actinobacteria bacterium partial 16S ribosomal RNA
Rfam family: Bacterial small subunit ribosomal RNA
Source: RNAcentral